CUUUGAAUGAGAAUUAUUGGAAACAAUUCUUCAGCCUUUGUUGCAAAAGUUGGACCAAGUCAUCCAAAUAGUCUGUUCUUGCCUUAAAAUCUACUCUGCAUUAUUCUCUCUGGCACUCCUCACCUCUGAUCACAUAGAUAAUAUCAUUCCUGCUGCAGGAAGAAGCAUAAAUCCACUUGAUGGUGUAAGGCUCUGUGGAGAAGCACAGGACUAAGGAGCACUGCAGUGCACCUAAGCAUUGUGAUCAGCCCCGCCGGACAAUGGGGAUCUCCUUUUGACUCACUUUCACAGCUUUGAGAGGCUCUCAGAUCAGCCACAUUCCAAUCAGACUGGAGUCAGAUCAGAGCCGGGCUGGACUGCAUCAAGGUCUCUCGCACAGAAAGACAAGGAGCAGAUGGCCAACACUGAGCUCUCCUCCCCUUUUCAGAGUGCAAUGGAAGGCAAUGUGGGAAAGCGUUCCCCCAGCAUUGCCUAUUGAUUUCUGAAUAGGACCACCACAUGCCACCAGCCUGUAGGUAUGAACCUCUGUUAACAGAUGGUGAGAUCAUUAUGAGCAAUUAAUUCCUUUAAUGUAUCAGUGGGAACAUGUUGGAAAGGGUGAUGCAAGCACAGAGUGAAUAGUGAACUUCUCAUUCCUCAGGGAGAGCUGCAGCUACAUCACUGAAGGAUGGGAACAGUCUUUCAAGAGGGUCUGUACAUACUGAGAACCAGAGCUAGCCAUUUGGUCCGCAGAAACGAAGCAUGGUUUUUAUUAACCAAUCAUCCCUCCCUCGUUGAUAUGUGAUUAACAACAGAUUUCUUUCUAGGUCAUUUUUGGAGAGACAGACAAUUCAAAACAAUGGGAAAAAAAAUCCCAAACUAUCAACACGAUAGGAAGACAGGGAAUUCGGACCUAGAGAUGAUGGGGGAAUAUUGCUACAUAACUCUUUGUUACAUAAAAUUUAAUUUCGACUGACUGUAAUUUAAUAAGGAAACAGACUAUUUUGAACACAACUAUGUGCAUAUAAAUAAAUAAGAGGAAUUCAUAAUAGCUCUUUGCA
RNAcentral lists this long non-coding RNA (1040 nucleotides) under Phasianus colchicus (ring-necked pheasant). Its description in RNAcentral is "lncRNA (ENSPCLG00000002047.1)". The record is from RNAcentral. Lineage: Eukaryota; Metazoa; Chordata; Aves; Galliformes; Phasianidae.